UACGGUCACAUUACGUUGAAACACCGGUUACCGCACGAUCACCGAAGUUAAGCAACGCCGAGCCUGGUCAAUACCUAGAUGUGUGACUGCUUGGAAAUCCAGGUGA
Molecule: non-coding RNA, 106 nt
Organism: Acanthosepion pharaonis
Lineage: Eukaryota; Metazoa; Mollusca; Cephalopoda; Sepiida; Sepiidae
Source: the annotation of a GenBank genome assembly